Molecule: ribosomal RNA, 253 nt
Filed under: uncultured bacterium
Lineage: Bacteria
Description: partial 16S ribosomal RNA
Rfam family: Bacterial small subunit ribosomal RNA
Source: RNAcentral
UACGGAAGGUGCAAGCGUUGUUCGGAAUGACUGGGCGUAAAGCGCACGUAGGCGGGUUCGCAAGUCGAAUGUGAAAGCCCCGGGCUCAACCCGGGAAUGGCAUUCGAAACUGUGAAUCUUGAAUGCUUAAGAGGUUGGCGGAAUUCCUGGUGUAGGAGUGAAAUCCGUAGAUAUCAGGAGGAAUACCGGCGGCGAAGGCGGCCAACUGGUGAUGCAUUGACGCUGAGGUGCGAAAGCGUGGGGAGCAAACAGG